This 252-nucleotide ribosomal RNA is filed under the name uncultured bacterium. RNAcentral describes it as "partial 16S ribosomal RNA". It matches the Rfam family "Bacterial small subunit ribosomal RNA", at positions 524 to 776 of the family's 1533-position model. The record is from RNAcentral.
UACGUAGGGUGCAAGCGUUAUCCGGAAUCACUGGGCGUAAAGCGUGCGUAGGUGGUCUGUUAAGUGAGAUGUGAAACCGUGUGGCUCAACCAUACGUUGUGUCUCAUACUGGCAGACUAGAGGACGGCAGAGGCAAGUGGAAUUUGUAGUGUAGCAGUGAAAUGCGUAGAUAUUACAAGGAACACCAAUGGCGAAGGCAGCUUGCUGGGCCACUCCUGACACUGAGGUACGAAAGCGUGGGGAGCGAACAGG